This 377-nucleotide ribosomal RNA is filed under the name Salmonella enterica subsp. enterica serovar Thompson. Its description in RNAcentral is "bacterial LSU rRNA". It matches the Rfam family "Bacterial large subunit ribosomal RNA", at positions 1084 to 1378 of the family's 2925-position model. The record is from RNAcentral. Lineage: Bacteria; Pseudomonadati; Pseudomonadota; Gammaproteobacteria; Enterobacterales; Enterobacteriaceae. RNAcentral also lists the same sequence under 11 other names.
CCCAGACAGCCAGGAUGUUGGCUUAGAAGCAGCCAUCAUUUAAAGAAAGCGUAAUAGCUCACUGGUCGAGUCGGCCUGCGCGGAAGAUGUAACGGGGCUAAACCAUGCACCGAAGCUGCGGCAGCGAACGUAUCACUUAAAGCGAUUCAGCGGGUUACGAUUGACGGAGCGAAGCGACGUCAAAGCGUAUACAAAGUCGAGUCGGUUUAAGGAUACGUUCGUUGGGUAGGGGAGCGUUCUGUAAGCCUGUGAAGGUGGCCUGUGAGGGUUGCUGGAGGUAUCAGAAGUGCGAAUGCUGACAUAAGUAACGAUAAAGCGGGUGAAAAGCCCGCUCGCCGGAAGACCAAGGGUUCCUGUCCAACGUUAAUCGGGGCAGG